This 303-nucleotide ribosomal RNA is filed under the name Bacillus sp. Lgg5.2. RNAcentral describes it as "bacterial SSU rRNA". It matches the Rfam family "Bacterial small subunit ribosomal RNA", at positions 157 to 451 of the family's 1533-position model. The record is from RNAcentral. Lineage: Bacteria; Bacillati; Bacillota; Bacilli; Caryophanales; Bacillaceae.
CCGGGGCUAAUACCGGAUGCUUGAUUUAACCGCAUGGUUCAAUUAUAAAAGGUGGCUUUUAGCUACCACUUACAGAUGGACCCGCGGCGCAUUAGCUAGUUGGUGAGGUAACGGCUCACCAAGGCAACGAUGCGUAGCCGACCUGAGAGGGUGAUCGGGCCACACUGGGACUGAGACACGGCCCAGACUCCUACGGGAGGCAGCAGUAGGGAAUCUUCCGCAAUGGACGAAAGUCUGACGGAGCAACGCCGCGUGAGUGAUGAAGGUUUUCGGAUCGUAAAACUCUGUUGUUAGGGAAGAACA